RNAcentral lists this ribosomal RNA (395 nucleotides) under uncultured prokaryote. RNAcentral describes it as "partial 16S ribosomal RNA". The record is from RNAcentral.
CCCUAUGGGGUGCAGCGGCGGCGGAGCAUGUCAUCGGCCAGGGUAAGUGGAGAGGAAAUCGAGUCUGCAAGAGGCACUUCGGAUGCAGCGUUCAAGGAUGUUUCCGCGCCAAAAUGAUGGCGGAUCUUGUUGAUUUUAUUGGCAAGGGUGAAGUGCGGGGAGCUUGAGGAAGCUUUGACCUGUUGCGGAUGGCAGCCGCCGCAGGUGAUCGCCAUCCGGUCUGGGUGGCUUGGUUGUGCAAUUAAUCCGGCGUGUGCCUUCUCAACCUGACCUUCUUUGUCGCUCCCACCAUGACAGGAGGUACAGGCGAGUUGAUGGGCUGGAUCGAGUUGGACAUCGCCAUGACACCCUGUGCAACCUGCCUGGAACGUUGGGGCGCUGAUCGGCGGGGGAGC